RNAcentral lists this ribosomal RNA (129 nucleotides) under Desulfoscipio geothermicus. RNAcentral's name for it is "23S rRNA. Bacterial LSU". It matches the Rfam family "Bacterial large subunit ribosomal RNA", at positions 2798 to 2925 of the family's 2925-position model. Lineage: Bacteria; Bacillati; Bacillota; Clostridia; Eubacteriales; Desulfallaceae. The record is from RNAcentral.
CUCCAGAUAAGGUUUCCCAUGGCAAAAGCCAGUAAGACCCCUGGCAGACUACCAGGUAGAUAGGCCGGGCGUGUAAGCGCAGCAAUGCGUUUAGCGGACCGGUACUAAUCGGUCGAGGGCUUGACCUGA